This is a non-coding RNA of Linepithema humile (Argentine ant), 921 nucleotides long. The record is from RefSeq and is a predicted model, not a curated record. NCBI's taxonomy places the organism in Eukaryota, Metazoa, Arthropoda, Insecta, Hymenoptera, Formicidae.
AUGCGUGUAUUAUGCGCUGCAGGUGGUGGGGAUCUAGGGAAUUCUAAGCGCUGUUCAUGCGCGCAUUGAGUGAAACGGAACGUUUUCUAUGUAAUUCGUGCGCAUAAUGUGCGAAACGGAACGCAACCUAUGUCACAGUCCCAAUGCAGUUAAAAAGAACGAACUAGAGAUAUAUGCUUAUAAAUAUAACGUUUUACGAAUAGCAGCUCUCUUAUGCUCCUUCGAAAAACGCGAUCCAGAUAAAUUUUCUUUAUUAUAUUGCUCGGCUUAUAGGCUUUAUUCAGUUAAAAGUCAGUUUUGUCAAAUACGCAACAAAUAUAAAUAAUCUGAACACAUAUGCAAUAUGUCCAGUAUUCAAUCAGAAGUUAACAUUGAGAGAAAAGACAUUCAAAGGAUAUUGAUUGCUCUCAAUAAUAUUACUUUAGAUAUGAAAAGGCAGGCAGAAGAUAUUGAAGAAUUUGUGAAGGAAAAUGGACACUUAAUUACAAUGGUUAACAUGGCAAAUAAAACAUUAUCUAAGCAAGUUACAGAAAUGGGAAUGGUUACGCAAAAGAUUAUUGACGCAAGCAAAAUUGUAGAAAGGCAGGAACCCUGGUUGAAAUCAAAUGUGGAAUUAAUUGCAUCUUUGACAGCCAGAACUUGCACAAUUACAGAACAAUUAGCAGGCAAUAUAAAUACAGUCGAUUCUGAUUAAUCGAGGCAACCAAUUUGGAACAAAUUUUGAAAAACAAAUCUUAAUAGAUAAAUUAUAAAGUUCAGAUAAUUAGGGCAGGCGCUUAAUUGGGCCAAAAUGUUAUGAUGUCAAUGUUUCUGAAUCAACUGUACUUGAACCAUAUAAAUGUUGGGUUAACUAUUUUUUUUGUGUAUUAUAAAUUUUAUAUUUUUACAUAUUUAUAUACACAUAUAUACAAAUAAACUCUU